RNAcentral lists this ribosomal RNA (498 nucleotides) under uncultured bacterium. RNAcentral's name for it is "bacterial SSU rRNA". It matches the Rfam family "Bacterial small subunit ribosomal RNA", at positions 1 to 535 of the family's 1533-position model. The record is from RNAcentral.
GGCCCGACAGAGUUUGAUCAUGGCUCAGAACGAACGCUGGCGGCAUGCCUAAUACAUGCAAGUCGAACGCGUCUAGCAAUAGACGAGUGGCGGACGGGUGAGUAACGCGUGGGAACCUGCCCUUGAGUGCGGGAUAACCGAGGGAAACUUCGGCUAAUACCGCAUGCGCCCCGAGCAAUCGGGGGAAAGAUUUAUCGCUCGAGGAGGGGCCCGCGUCGGAUUAGCUAGUUGGUGGGGUAAAGGCCUACCAAGGCGAUGAUCCGUAGCUGGUCUGAGAGGAUGAUCAGCCACACUGGGACUGAGACACGGCCCAGACUCCUACGGGAGGCAGCAGUAGGGAAUAUUGGACAAUGGGGGCAACCCUGAUCCAGCAAUGCCGCGUGAGUGAUGAAGGCCUUAGGGUUGUAAAGCUCUUUCGCGCGCGACGAUGAUGACGGUAGCGCGAGAAGAAGCCCCGGCUAACUUCGUGCCAGCAGCCGCGGUAAUAACCUAAAUAGC